This 201-nucleotide ribosomal RNA is filed under the name uncultured bacterium. Its description in RNAcentral is "partial 16S ribosomal RNA". It matches the Rfam family "Bacterial small subunit ribosomal RNA", at positions 1300 to 1500 of the family's 1533-position model. The record is from RNAcentral.
GCAGCCUGCAACUCGGCUGCAUGAAGCUGGAAUCGCUAGUAAUCGCGGAUCAGAAUGCCGCGGUGAAUACGUUCCCGGGUCUUGUACACACCGCCCGUCACACCAUGGGAGCCGGGAAUGCCCGAAGUCAGUGGCCCAACCGCAGGGAGGGAGCUGCCGAAGGCAGGCCCGGUGACUGGGGUGAAGUCGUAACAAGGUAAC